This 19-nucleotide small nuclear RNA is filed under the name Arabidopsis thaliana (thale cress). RNAcentral describes it as "snRNA_08320". Lineage: Eukaryota; Viridiplantae; Streptophyta; Magnoliopsida; Brassicales; Brassicaceae. The record is from RNAcentral.
GAUAGCGCUUAAGCGCGAA